GGGAUCUUCCUGCCUGUUUCUUGAACAGCUGGGACUACAGGUAUAGUGUGAAGAUGUGGAGUCUGCAACAUGGCAGCUACUUUUCAACUCUAAUGGAUCAGCCGAAAUCUUCUGAGCGCCACCAAAGAGAGCCUGAGGAUAAAGCAAGCAUGCAGACACCUUGGAAGGUCAAGGGUAGGAAUAAAGAUAAAUGAUGCUGACUGAAUUGCCAGAUCUAGUCCUGCCUGAAUUUAGACCUACAUCUGGAUUUUUCACUUACAUGAAAGAGUAAAU
RNAcentral lists this long non-coding RNA (273 nucleotides) under Homo sapiens (human). RNAcentral's name for it is "non-protein coding lnc-CCDC59-4:1". Lineage: Eukaryota; Metazoa; Chordata; Mammalia; Primates; Hominidae. The record is from RNAcentral.